Molecule: ribosomal RNA, 469 nt
Filed under: uncultured bacterium
Lineage: Bacteria
Description: bacterial SSU rRNA
Rfam family: Bacterial small subunit ribosomal RNA
Source: RNAcentral
UCGAGGAUCUUCGGCAAUGGGCGAAAGCCUGACGGAGCGACACCGCGUGCAGGACGAAGGCCCUCGGGUUGUAAACUGCUGUCACGCUCUAGGAAUGCCAUGUCGUUAAUAGCGGCAUGGUUGACCAAGGCGAAAGGAAGUGGCGGCUAACUCUGUGCCAGCAGCCGCGGUAAGACAGAGGCCACGAACGUUGUUCGGAAUCACUGGGCAUAAAGCGCACGUAGGCGGCUAGGUCCGUCCAAUGUGAAAGCCCCCGGCUCAACCGGGGAAUUGCAUCGGAUACAGCCUGGCUUGAGGACGGUUGGGGUGAGUGGAACUCCUGGUGGAGCGGUGAAAUGCGUAGAUAUCAGGAGGAACACCGGUGGCGAAAGCGGCUCACUGGACCGUAACUGACGCUGAGGUGCGAAAGCUAGGGGAGCAAACGGGAUUAGAUACCCCUGUAGUCCCUGAGCGGGCUGGCAAGGCGCAU